This 479-nucleotide ribosomal RNA is filed under the name uncultured bacterium. RNAcentral's name for it is "partial 16S ribosomal RNA". It matches the Rfam family "Bacterial small subunit ribosomal RNA", at positions 28 to 507 of the family's 1533-position model. The record is from RNAcentral.
GACGAACGCUGGCGGCGCGCUUAACACAUGCAAGUCGAGCGAUGAAAUUUCGACAGAUCCCUUCGGGGUGAAGAUGAAAUGGAUUAGCGGCGGACGGGUGAGUAACACGUGAGUAACCUGCCUUUGACAUUGGGAUAGCCUCGGGAAACUGGGAUUAAUACCAAAUGACACUAACUGAUCACAUGAUCAAUUAGUCAAAGAAAUUCAGUCAAAGAUGGACUCGCGGCUGAUUAGCUAGUUGGUGAGGUAACGGCCCACCAAGGCGACGAUCAGUAGCCGGCCUGAGAGGGUGAUCGGCCACAUUGGAACUGAGACACGGUCCAAACUCCUACGGGAGGCAGCAGUGGGGAAUAUUGCACAAUGGGGGAAACCCUGAUGCAGCGACGCCGCGUGAGCGAAGAAGGCCUUCGGGUCGUAAAGCUCUUUUAUGAGGGAAGAUAAUGACGGUACCUCAAGAAAAAGCCCCGGCUAACUACGUG